UUAUGGCCAUAUCAUGUUGAAAUACCAGUUCUUGUAUGAUCACUGAAGUUAAGUAAUGUCAAGCCUGGUCAGUAUCUAGAUGAGUGACCAUGUGGGAAUACCAGGUGCUGUAAG
RNAcentral lists this ribosomal RNA (114 nucleotides) under Acanthosepion pharaonis. Lineage: Eukaryota; Metazoa; Mollusca; Cephalopoda; Sepiida; Sepiidae. The record is from RNAcentral.